UACGUAGGGGGCAAGCGUUGUCCGGAAUCAUUGGGCGUAAAGAGCGUGUAGGCGGCCAGAUAAGUCCGCUGUGAAAUCUCGAGGCUCAACUUCGAGCUGUCGGUGGAAACUGUCUGGCUAGAGUCCGGAAGAGGAGAAUGGAAUUCCUGGUGUAGCGGUGAAAUGCGCAGAUAUCAGGAAGAACACCCGUGGCGAAGGCGGUUCUCUGGGACGGUACUGACGCUGAGACGCGAAAGCGUGGGGAGUGAACAGG
RNAcentral lists this ribosomal RNA (253 nucleotides) under uncultured bacterium. Its description in RNAcentral is "partial 16S ribosomal RNA". It matches the Rfam family "Bacterial small subunit ribosomal RNA", at positions 524 to 776 of the family's 1533-position model. The record is from RNAcentral.